This 380-nucleotide ribosomal RNA is filed under the name Saturnispora diversa. Its description in RNAcentral is "eukaryotic LSU rRNA". The stretch from base 62 to 214 matches the Rfam family "5.8S ribosomal RNA". The record is from RNAcentral. Lineage: Eukaryota; Fungi; Ascomycota; Pichiomycetes; Pichiales; Pichiaceae.
UGUUUUAGAACAAAGCUCAUGAAAUUUUAAGUAUUGAUACCAAAAGAACCUAUAAAGUUAAAACUUUCAACAACGGAUCUCUUGGCUCUCGCACCGAUGAAGAGCGCAGCGAAAUGCGAUAACUAAUGUGAAUUGCAGGCAUCGUGAAUCAUCGAGUUCUUGAACGCACAUUGCGCCCUGUGGUAUUCCGCAGGGCAUGCCUGUUUGAGCGUCGGUUCAUUCUAUUGAUAGAUGGGCUGAGUUUACGAGGCCCGCCAGGGCGUCGUUUAUUUGAAAUACAAGACUACGGUUUAGUUGUGCUACUACGUAUCCACGACUACCCACCUCUUCUAAUUCGACCUCAAAUCAGGUAGGAAUACCCGCUGAACUUAAGCAUAUCA